This 500-nucleotide ribosomal RNA is filed under the name uncultured Glomeraceae. RNAcentral describes it as "SSU rRNA". It matches the Rfam family "Eukaryotic small subunit ribosomal RNA", at positions 569 to 1077 of the family's 1831-position model. Lineage: Eukaryota; Fungi; Glomeromycota; Glomeromycetes; Glomerales; Glomeraceae. The record is from RNAcentral.
AGCAGCCGCGGUAAUUCCAGCUCCAAUAGCGUAUAUUAAAGUUGUUGCAGUUAAAAAGCUCAUAGUUGAAUUUCGGGAUCAAUAUAUCGGUCGUGCCUUUGGUACGUACUGGUAUCAUUGAUUUCUCCUUUCUGACGAAUCAUGAUGUCAUUAAUUUGGUGUUAUGAGGAGUUAGGACUGUUACUUUGAAAAAAUUGAGUGUUUAAAGCAGGCAUUAGCUUGAAUACAUUAGCAUGGAAUAAUGAAAUAGGACGUUUGACCCUAUUUUGUGGUUUUUAGGAUCGACGUAAUGAUUAAUAGGGAUAGUUGGGGGCAUUAGUAUUCAAUUGUCAGAGGUGAAAUUCUUGGAUUUAUUGAAGACUAACUACUGCGAAAGCAUUUGCCAAGGAUGUUUUCAUUAAUCAAGAACGAAAGUUAGGGAUCGAAGACGGUCAGAUACCGUGUAGUCUUAACCAUAAACUAUGCCGACUAGGGAUCGGAUGAUGUUAAUUUUAUAAUGA